GUCUCCGUGGCGCAAUUGGUUAGAGCCAUCUGCUGAUAACUCAAAGGUUGUGGUUCAAUCCCACCUGGAGACG
Molecule: transfer RNA, 73 nt
Filed under: Clytia hemisphaerica
Lineage: Eukaryota; Metazoa; Cnidaria; Hydrozoa; Leptothecata; Clytiidae
Description: tRNA-Ile for anticodon GAU
Rfam family: tRNA
About the family: Transfer RNA (tRNA) molecules are approximately 80 nucleotides in length. Their secondary structure includes four short double-helical elements and three loops (D, anti-codon, and T loops). Further hydrogen bonds mediate the characteristic L-shaped molecular structure. tRNAs have two regions of fundamental functional importance: the anti-codon, which is responsible for specific mRNA codon recognition, and the 3' end, to which the tRNAs corresponding amino acid is attached (by aminoacyl-tRNA synthetases). tRNAs cope with the degeneracy of the genetic code in two manners: having more than one tRNA (with a specific anti-codon) for a particular amino acid; and 'wobble' base-pairing, i.e. permitting non-standard base-pairing at the 3rd anti-codon position.
Source: Rfam by way of RNAcentral